Molecule: long non-coding RNA, 410 nt
Organism: Pollicipes pollicipes
Lineage: Eukaryota; Metazoa; Arthropoda; Thecostraca; Pollicipedomorpha; Pollicipedidae
Exons: 4
Source: RefSeq, a predicted model, not a curated record
GUGAGAGGGUGACGGGCGUCUUUAUGUGGACUGAAAGGCUAUUUUCCAAGUAUUGCAGAAGUUAAAUACUCACCGCCGCAUAUAAGGCUCCAGGGCUGUGAGGCUGCCAGCAGACAUGCAGCCGACCCUUGCCAUCGUGCUGGUGCUGCUCGGGUGCUGCUCCAACGUUGUCUUCUUGGAGCUGUUGACCACUGCACAUCCUGGCUCAGGAAACAUCAUAACGUUCUCGCAGUUUUUGUUCAUCGCUGUACACGGAUUUGUGUUCACCAUGAAGUGUGGAACCGUGCGCUCGGCGAUACCAGUAAGCAAGUACUUCCUCAUGGUGGGACUCUUCUUUGUCGUCAGCGUCAUCAACAAUUAUGCCCUGAACUUUGGCAUCCCUAUGCCAUUGCAUAUGAUCUUUAAAGCGG